RNAcentral lists this non-coding RNA (27 nucleotides) under Homo sapiens (human). Lineage: Eukaryota; Metazoa; Chordata; Mammalia; Primates; Hominidae. The record is from RNAcentral.
UGGUGAGCGCAACUGUUCCUAUCAGCA